Solanum tuberosum (potato) is the source of this 393-nucleotide long non-coding RNA. RefSeq lists it as uncharacterized. Lineage: Eukaryota; Viridiplantae; Streptophyta; Magnoliopsida; Solanales; Solanaceae. The transcript is spliced from 2 exons. The record is from RefSeq and is a predicted model, not a curated record.
AUGUAUUGAAUUAACCGUUUUAAACCGCUGCUACCUUGACGAUGAAUUUGCGCCCUACACUUCAAAAAAAAAUCCCUAUUUUUUGUUUUGGUUUCUCAUUCCAAAUCUAAUGCACUUUUCUCUCUCUCUCAUUCGCCAGUCUCCAAAACCCGGCGAAGUUCUUCCAAUCGGACCAUGGAAGCUUGAAUUUGGGUGAGUUUUUGUAUGUCUGGAACUCUACAAAGUUCAGUUUUCGUUUGUUAUUGGCCAGUAUUUUUCGACUGGAACUUUCCACAGAGGAAUAAUGAUAAGAUAGAUGAAGGACUGGCACGAGCAAGAGCGACGAUUCAAAAUGCUGCUGAUGUUGAAAACCUCUCAAUUUAUCAGUUAGUAUCAUUGAAUUUCAUACCUGAA